This 278-nucleotide signal recognition particle RNA is filed under the name Amphilophus citrinellus (Midas cichlid). RNAcentral describes it as "Metazoan signal recognition particle RNA (ENSACIG00000004463.1)". It matches the Rfam family "Metazoan signal recognition particle RNA". From Rfam's summary of the family: The signal recognition particle (SRP) is a universally conserved ribonucleoprotein. It is involved in the co-translational targeting of proteins to membranes. The record is from RNAcentral. Lineage: Eukaryota; Metazoa; Chordata; Actinopteri; Cichliformes; Cichlidae.
GCCGGGUGCGGUGGCGCGCGCCUGUAAUCCAAGCUACCGGGAGGCUGAGGCUGGCGGAUCGUUUGAGCUCAGGAGCUCUGAGCUGCAGCGGACUAUGCCGAUCGGGUGUCCGCACUAAGUUCGGCAUCGAUAUGGUGCUCUUGGGGGAGCCCGGGACUGCCAGGUCGCCCAAGGAGGGGUGCCCAGGUCGGAAACGGAGCAGGUCAAAGCAACACACACCAUCAUUAUACCUGUCUCUAUUUCACACAGCAGCUUCAUCGCAACUUUUCUUUUCUUUU